Molecule: long non-coding RNA, 2356 nt
Organism: Homo sapiens (human)
Lineage: Eukaryota; Metazoa; Chordata; Mammalia; Primates; Hominidae
Gene: STXBP5-AS1
Product: STXBP5 antisense RNA 1
Source: Ensembl
AUUGCAUAAUGCAGUAGCCACUGGAUUUGCAGCAGAAACACUCUGCUACAGAACAAGUGUCUUGGUUCACAGCAAAGAGGACAAAGAAAACAGCAAGUUUUAGGGGGUUGAAUCCUGGAUUCCCCUGGCAAACACCAUUCUACUUUCCGUCUCUAUGAAUUUGACUACUCGAAGUACCUCAUUAAAAGAAGAGAAAAAACAUCAAUUAGAAAAUAGAAAAGAGCCCUCCCUGGUGAAUUCCUGCUUCUCCUCCAUGUCAUCAUAGGUGUUGAUGGUGCUUGCCUCUGGAUAAUGCUGACUUCCUCUAGAGUGGUCACCAAGGUGAAAUGUUGGUGCCAAAUGAACUUUUCUGGUUCUUCUGAAUGAUGAAGAGAUCCUCCUAGCUUGGCGGAAUACUCUGCUCUGAUGGAAGUACCAUCCUGGUCCAAACAUGAAAGAAUUCCCAACAUCAAGAUUGAUUGAAACAUAUUCAAUGGAUCAUUUGCUCCAGAAGAAGCUGGUUGCCAUGUCUUGAGGACAGUAAACCCUCUGGGGAGGUUCCUGUGGUAAGGAACAAGGGCUCCUGGCAAUAGCCUCUGAGUGAGCCACCUUGAAAAUGGAUUGUCCAGCCCCAGUCAAGCUUUCAGAUGACUGUAGCUCCUGCCAAUGUCUUCACCACAACCUCAUGAGAUCCCAAGCUACAACCACUCAGAACUUCAUCUUUUGGGAAGCACCAGGGAGAGCUGCCUGUGCCUGGCAGAAGCUGCCCAUGCCCCACUGAUACCCCACAGUACUUCCUGUUCUGCUUAGUACUCCUGCUUCUUUCUACAAACAACUGUGAUUCUCUACCUGGGAGCUUCCUCUGGCCACAGGAGCCUGCUCACCUGAUUGGGACACCCUAGCAGUACUGGCUCAUAGAUGGAAGGGACUUGCCUUGUCGCUGAUGAGACUUUCGACUUGGACUUUUGAGUCAAUGCUGGAAUGAGUUAAGACUUUGGGGAACUGUUGGAAGGGUGUGAUUGUGUUUUGAAUUGUGAGGACAUGAGAUUUUGAAGAGGCUAAUGGCAGCGUCCCCACCUAAAUCUCUUCUUGAAUUGUAGUUCCCAUAAUCCCCACGUGUCGUGGGGUGGAGCCGGUGGAGAUAAUUGAAUCAUGGGAACACUUUCCCCCAUGCUGUUAUUGUGAUUGUGAAUUCUCACGAGAUCUGAUGGUUGUAUAAACGCCUUCCCUCUUCGCUGGGCACUCAUUUUUCUCCUUCCUGCCACCAUGUGAAGAAGGAUAUGCUUGCUUCUUGUGCCAUGAUUGUAAGUUUCCUGAGGCCUCCCCAGCCAUGCUGAACUGUGAGUCAAUUGAACCUCUUUCCUUUAUAAAUUACCUAGUCUUGGAUAUGUUUUUAUUAGCAGUGUGAGACAGGACUAAUACACAAAGGAUUUGAAAUCACAAAGGAGCUGUUUUCUGCUCCACCAUGGAAGUCUCACAUGCAUCACAUCUAUUCAUAUCCAUUUGCCACAACUAGACAAAAAGUCCUUUUUAAAAUCUGCCUAGAGAUCAGGAAGUAUUAUCUCUGGAUGCCUAGGCAGGAGAGGUGAAUCAGAUAUUGGUGGGCACUAGUGUGUUCUAUGAUACAUAGCUUAAUAAAAAUAAGUUUCAGAUAAAUCUAAAUAUACAUUAGAAUACUGUAACCACAGUAGAAAAAAAUAUUGGCUCCUUUUUGUGAUAAACUAAUGAUGGUAAAUGCACCCUAUUUAAGCAAGAAAAGAAACUGAUCUGCCAUAAAGAAAACAAUGACAUAUUUAACUACAAAAUAUGUUACAAAAUAUUAAUAUCCCUAAUGGACAAAUGAGUUCCAAUAAAUGGAUAACAAAAAACCAAUAAGUCUGUAGAAAAAUGGAGAAAAUAUAUUUGCAGAAUAUUUAUACAGGUGGUAAUGAAAUUGACAAUGAUGUUUAUCAUCAGCAGUAAACAGUAAAAAGUUUCACCCACCAGGACUAUAGAAAUUUUUCAAAUGGAUAAUUUUCAGAAUCAGCAAAGUUAUAGAAAAGUAGGUACCAGUUGCACAUACCAUUGGAGGAAAUGUAAAAUAUAGUUACCUUGUGGAAAGUAAUCUGAUGUAAUAUAUUAAAAUUUUAUCCAUGUAUGUCCUAUAAUUCAGCAAUUCCAUGUUGGGGAAUCCAUACAAAGAAAUACUUAUACACAUGCAGAAGGAGCUAAGUUUAAGAAAGCACACAUUUCAGCGGGUUGUGGUGUCUCACCCCUGUAAUCCCAGCACAUUGGGAGGCCGAGGUUGGUGGAUCACCUGAGGUCAGGAGUUUGAGACCAGCCUGGCCAACAUGGUGAAACCCUGUCUCUACUAAAAAUACAAAAAAUUAGCUGGUGU